RNAcentral lists this ribosomal RNA (490 nucleotides) under uncultured bacterium. RNAcentral describes it as "partial 16S ribosomal RNA". It matches the Rfam family "Bacterial small subunit ribosomal RNA", at positions 29 to 507 of the family's 1533-position model. The record is from RNAcentral.
AGUGAACGCUGGCGGCAGGCCUAACACAUGCAAGUCGAACGGCAGCACAAGAGAGCUUGCUCUCUGGGUGGCGAGUGGCGGACGGGUGAGGAAUGCAUCGGAAUCUGCCCAUUUGUGGGGGAUAACCUCGGGAAACCGGGACUAAUACCGCAUACGACCUACGGGUGAAAGCAGGGGAUCUUCGGACCUUGCGCAGAUGGAUGAGCCGAUGCCGGAUUAGCUAGUUGGAGGGGUAAAGGCCCACCAAGGCGACGAUCCGUAGCUGGUCUGAGAGGAUGAUCAGCCACACUGGGACUGAGACACGGCCCAGACGCCUACGGGAGGCAGCAGUGGGGAAUAUUGGACAAUGGGCGCAAGCCUGAUCCAGCCAUGCCGCGUGUGUGAAGAAGGCCUUCGGGUUGUAAAGCACUUUUGUUGGGAAAGAAAAGCAGCCGGUUAAUACCCGGUUGUCAUGACGGUACCCAAAGAAUAAGCACCGGCUAACUUCGUG